AUGCCACAGUGCCAGCCCCACUUAAUGCAUUUUUUUUUUUUUUUGACAGAGUGGACAGUGAGAGAGACAGAGAGAAAGGUCUUCCUUUUGCCGUUGGUUCACCCCCCAGUGGCUGCCACGGCUGGCGCGCUACGGCCAGCAGACUGCGCUGAUCCGAAGCCAGGGGCCAGGUGCUUUUCCUGGUCUCCCAUGCGGGUACAGGGCCCAAGCACUUGGGCCAUAGCAGAGAGCUGGCCUGGAAGAGGGGCAACCGGGACAGAAUCCGGCGCCCCAACCGGGGCUAGAACCCAGUGUGCCGGCGCCGCAAGGCAGAGGAUUAACCUAUUGAGCCACGGCACCAGCCUUAAUGCAUUUCAUAAAUACAACUUUAGGAAUAUCCCACCCUUCUUCCUCCUCCCUCUCCUAUUCCCAGUCUUGCUUUUUUUUUUUUUUUUAAAGAUUUAUUUAUUUGAAAGAGUUACACAGAGUGAGAAGGAGAGACAGAGAGAGAGAGAGAGAGGUCUUCCAUCCUCUGAUUCACUCCCAGUUGGCUUCAACAGCCGGAACUGCAUUGAUCUGGAGCCAGGAGUUUUUUUUUGGGUCAUUUUACGCAGCUGUGGGGUGCUUUCCCAAGCUGAAUUGGAAGUGGAGCAGCCAGGAGCCAGCGGCCAUAUGAGAUGCUGGCACUGUAGGUGGCAGCUUUACCCUCUGUGCCUCAGCACCAGUCUUCCUUUUCACCAAGAUCUAUUUUCAGUUAACUUUAUACACGUAAGUUCAACAAAUGAUAUGGGAAAAAAAAAAAAAAAAAAAAACAACUUGUUCCCCAACAGUCAAGAGAAGGACUGUUCAAAGUCAUUGCAUCGGCCGGCGCCGCGGCUCACUAGGCUAAUCCUCCGCCUAGCGGCGCCGGCACACCGGGUUCUAGUCCCGGUCGGGGCGCCGGAUUCUGUCCCGGUUGCCCCUCUUCCAGGCCAGCCCUCUGCUGUGGCCAGGGAGUGCAGUGGAGGAUGGCCCAGGUGCUUGGGCCCUGCACCCCAUGGGAGACCAGGAAAAGCACCUGGCUCCUGGCUCCUGCCAUCGGAUCAGCGCGGUGCGCCGGCCGCAGCGCGCCGGCCGCGGCGGCCAUUGGAGGGUGAACCAACGGCAAAGGAAGACCUUUCUCUCUGUCUCUCUCUCUCACUGUCCACUCUGCCUGUCAAAAAAAAAAUAAAUAAAUAA
This 1197-nucleotide long non-coding RNA is filed under the name Oryctolagus cuniculus (rabbit). RNAcentral's name for it is "lncRNA (ENSOCUG00000038391.1)". The record is from RNAcentral. Lineage: Eukaryota; Metazoa; Chordata; Mammalia; Lagomorpha; Leporidae.